UGGGGAAUUUUGGACAAUGGGGGCAACCCUGAUCCAGCAAUGCCGCGUGUGUGAAGAAGGCCUUCGGGUUGUAAAGCACUUUUGUCCGGAAAGAAAACUUCGUCCCUAAUAUGGAUGGAGGAUGACGGUACCGGAAGAAUAAGCACCGGCUAACUACGUGCCAGCAGCCGCGGUAAUACGUAGGGUGCGAGCGUUAAUCGGAAUUACUGGGCGUAAAGCGUGCGCAGGCGGGUCUGUUAAGACCGAUGUGAAAUCCCCGGGCUUAACCUGGGAACUGCAUUGGUGACUGGCAGGCUUUGAGUGUGGCAGAGGGAGGUAGAAUUCCACGUGUAGCAGUGAAAUGCGUAGAGAUGUGGAGGAAUACCGAUGGCGAAGGCAGCCUCCUGGGCCAACACUGACGCUCAUGCACGAAAGCGUGGGGAGCAAACAGGAUUAGAUACCCUGGUAGUCCACGCCCUAAACGAUGUCAACUAGUUGUUGGGGAUUCAUUUCCUUAGUAACGUAGCUAACGCGUGAAGUU
This 520-nucleotide ribosomal RNA is filed under the name uncultured bacterium. Its description in RNAcentral is "bacterial SSU rRNA". It matches the Rfam family "Bacterial small subunit ribosomal RNA", at positions 355 to 866 of the family's 1533-position model. The record is from RNAcentral.